CAUCAGAUCAUAUGCAGGCAGUAAAGUGGAGUUUGGGCAAGGGAUGUAUGCUUAUCAGUCCCUUUAGAAGAACACUUUAGUGGCUGUAUUUCAGCCAUUCAUGGAACACUGUGAAGCCACCCUGGCAAAGAUGCAUUGAUUUCAUCAGACUGAUUGGACAAAGAGCAUGUGAUGUGAGGGGAAGGGAUGUCUGCUCUCAUGUCACAGGAGGACAAGUGAUGUCACAGGAAAGGCAAUAAUAUCAGACAGCAUAUCAAGAAGAAGGGAAGUGACGUCACAAGGAAGAAUGAGGCUGGACUGUAUGUCACAUGAAGGGACGGGAAGUUGACGUGUCACAGGAAGGAAAAAGGAGGCCCUGGGGGAGCAAAGUAACCCAGCCAAGAUUUCACCAGGACAAAGUCUGUCUGGAGAUGCAUGAAGCAGGAGCCACUGAAUAGGAUGAGAGGCCAAUGGGAAAGUAAACCCUGGGAGAGGAGGAAGGAAAUAACAAGAGGCUCCAUCUCAUUGUCUUAUUACGGGAAAGGUCCCUCCUCCUGUCCCUCAAUUGCUUUGUACCCAUAAGCCAGCUGUAAUCAGAGGAAAGAAUAUGACACAUACAGCUCCAUGGACAUACUGGCC
Long non-coding RNA from Mauremys mutica (yellowpond turtle), 618 nucleotides. RefSeq lists it as uncharacterized. NCBI's taxonomy places the organism in Eukaryota, Metazoa, Chordata, Testudines, Geoemydidae. The transcript is spliced from 3 exons. The record is from RefSeq and is a predicted model, not a curated record.